RNAcentral lists this ribosomal RNA (730 nucleotides) under uncultured bacterium. RNAcentral describes it as "bacterial SSU rRNA". It matches the Rfam family "Bacterial small subunit ribosomal RNA", at positions 771 to 1501 of the family's 1533-position model. The record is from RNAcentral.
AACAGGAUUAGAUACCCUGGUAGUCCACGCCCUAAACGAUGUCGACUGGUUGUUGGGGGUUUGACACUCUCAGUAACGAAGCUAACGCGUGAAGUCGACCGCCUGGGGAGUACGGCCGCAAGGUUAAAACUCAAAGGAAUUGACGGGGACCCGCACAAGCGGUGGAUUAUGUGGAUUAAUUCGAUGCAACGCGAAAAACCUUACCUACCCUUGACAUGUCCGAGAGCCUGGAGAGAUUCAGGUGUGCCCGAAAGGGAAUCGGAACACAGGUGCUGCAUGGCUGUCGUCAGCUCGUGUCGUGAGAUGUUGGGUUAAGUCCCGCAACGAGCGCAACCCUUGGCAUUAGUUGCUACAUUCAGUUGGGCACUCUAAUGAGACUGCCGGUGACAAACCGGAGGAAGGUGGGGAUGACGUCAAGUCCUCAUGGCCCUUAUGGGUAGGGCUUCACACGUAAUACAAUGGCGCGUACAGAGGGUUGCCAAGGAGCGAUCUGGAGCCAAUCCCGUAAAGCGCGUCGUAGUCCGGAUUGCAGUCUGCAACUCGACUGCAUGAAGUCGGAAUCGCUAGUAAUCGCGGAUCAGCAUGUCGCGGUGAAUACGUUCCCGGGUCUUGUACACACCGCCCGUCACACCAUGGGAGUGGGUUUCACCAGAAGCCGGUCGCCUAACCGCAAGGGGGGCGCCGACCACGGUGAGAUUCAUGACUGGGGUGAAGUCGUAACAAGGUAACC